Molecule: ribosomal RNA, 327 nt
Filed under: uncultured eukaryote
Lineage: Eukaryota
Description: partial 18S ribosomal RNA
Rfam family: Eukaryotic small subunit ribosomal RNA
Source: RNAcentral
CCCUUAGAUGUUCGGGGCCGCACGCGCGCUACAAUGGAUGAAUCAACGCGUCAUCCUGGCCCGAAAGGGUUGGGGAACCGCUGAACCUCAUCCGUGGUUGGGAUUGGGGUUUGUAAUUAUUCCCCAUGAACUAGGAAUUCCCAGUAAGCGCGAGUCAUAAGCUCGCGUUGAUUACGUCCCUGCCCUUUGUACACACCGCCCGUCGCUACUACCGAUUGGAUGGUUUAGUGAGAUCCUCGGAUUGGUCACGGCACGGUGGCAACACUGCGUCGGUGUGCCGAGAAGACGAUCAAACUUGAUCAUCUAGAGGAAGUAAAAGUCGUAACA